Molecule: ribosomal RNA, 852 nt
Filed under: Colletotrichum truncatum
Lineage: Eukaryota; Fungi; Ascomycota; Sordariomycetes; Glomerellales; Glomerellaceae
Description: SSU rRNA
Rfam family: Eukaryotic small subunit ribosomal RNA
Source: RNAcentral
UUUUCAGCUCCAAUAGCGUAUAUUAAAGUUGUUGUGGUUAAAAAGCUCGUAGUUGAACCUUGGGCCUGGCCGUCCGGUCCGCCUCACCGCGUGUACUGGCUCGGCCGGGCCUUUCCCUCUGUGGAACCCCAUGCCCUUCACUGGGCGUGGCGGGGAAACAGGACUUUUACUGUGAAAAAAUUAGAGUGCUCCAGGCAGGCCUAUGCUCGAAUACAUUAGCAUGGAAUAAUAGAAUAGGACGUGUGGUUCUAUUUUGUUGGUUUCUAGGACCGCCGUAAUGAUUAAUAGGGACAGUCGGGGGCAUCAGUAUUCAAUUGUCAGAGGUGAAAUUCUUGGAUUUAUUGAAGACUAACUACUGCGAAAGCAUUUGCCAAGGAUGUUUUCAUUAAUCAGGAACGAAAGUUAGGGGAUCGAAGACGAUCAGAUACCGUCGUAGUCUUAACCAUAAACUAUGCCGACUAGGGAUCGGACGGUGUUAUUUUUUGACCCGUUCGGCACCUUACGAGAAAUCAAAGUGCUUGGGCUCCAGGGGGAGUAUGGUCGCAAGGCUGAAACUUAAAGAAAUUGACGGAAGGGCACCACCAGGGGUGGAGCCUGCGGCUUAAUUUGACUCAACACGGGGAAACUCACCAGGUCCAGACACAAUGAGGAUUGACAGAUUGAGAGCUCUUUCUUGAUUUUGUGGGUGGUGGUGCAUGGCCGUUCUUAGUUGGUGGAGUGAUUUGUCUGCUUAAUUGCGAUAACGAACGAGACCUUAACCUGCUAAAUAGCCCGUAUUGCUUUGGCAGUACGCUGGCUUCUUAGAGGGACUAUCGGCUCAAGCCGAUGGAAGUUUGAGGCAAUAACACGUCA